This 428-nucleotide ribosomal RNA is filed under the name uncultured bacterium. Its description in RNAcentral is "partial 16S ribosomal RNA". It matches the Rfam family "Bacterial small subunit ribosomal RNA", at positions 355 to 775 of the family's 1533-position model. The record is from RNAcentral.
UGGGGAAUAUUGGACAAUGGGCGAAAGCCUGAUCCAGCCAUGCCGCGUGUGUGAAGAAGGUCUUCGGAUUGUAAAGCACUUUAAGUUGGGAGGAAGGGCAGUAAAUUAAUACUUUGCUGUUUUGACGUUACCGACAGAAUAAGCACCGGCUAACUCUGUGCCAGCAGCCGCGGUAAUACAGAGGGUGCAAGCGUUAAUCGGAAUUACUGGGCGUAAAGCGCGCGUAGGUGGUUCGUUAAGUUGGAUGUGAAAUCCCCGGGCUCAACCUGGGAACUGCAUUCAAAACUGACGAGCUAGAGUAUGGUAGAGGGUGGUGGAAUUUCCUGUGUAGCGGUGAAAUGCGUAGAUAUAGGAAGGAACACCAGUGGCGAAGGCGACCACCUGGACUGAUACUGACACUGAGGUGCGAAAGCGUGGGGAGCAAAACA